GGCUCAGAUUGAACGCUGGCGGCAGGCCUAACACAUGCAAGUCGAACGGUAACAGGAAGCAGCUUGCUGCUUCGCUGACGAGUGGCGGACGGGUGAGUAAUGUCUGGGAAACUGCCUGAUGGAGGGGGAUAACUACUGGAAACGGUGGCUAAUACCGCAUAACGUCGCAAGACCAAAGAGGGGGACCUUCGGGCCUCUUGCCAUCAGAUGUGCCCAGAUGGGAUUAGCUUGUUGGUGAGGUAACGGCUCACCAAGGCGACGAUCCCUAGCUGGUCUGAGAGGAUGACCAGCCACACUGGAACUGAGACACGGUCCAGACUCCUACGGGAGGCAGCAGUGGGGAAUAUUGCACAAUGGGCGCAAGCCUGAUGCAGCCAUGCCGCGUGUAUGAAGAAGGCCUUCGGGUUGUAAAGUACUUUCAGCGGGGAGGAAGGUGUUGUGGUUAAUAACCGCAGCAAUUGACGUUACCCGCAGAAGAAGCACCGGCUAACUCCGUGCCAGCAGCCGCGGUAAUACGGAGGGUGCAAGCGUUAAUCGGAAUUACUGGGCGUAAAGCGCACGCAGGCGGUCUGUCAAGUCGGAUGUGAAAUCCCCGGGCUCAACCUGGGAACUGCAUUCGAAACUGGCAGGCUUGAGUCUUGUAGAGGGGGGUAGAAUUCCAGGUGUAGCGGUGAAAUGCGUAGAAAUCUGAAGGAAUACCGGUGGCGAAGGCGGCCCCCUGGACAAAGACUGACGCUCAGGUGCGAAAGCGUGGGAGCAAACAGGAUUAGAUACCCUGGUAGUCCACGCCGUAAAUGAUGUCUACUUGGAGGUUGUGCCCUUGAGGCGUGGCUUCCGGAGCUAACGCGUUAAGUAGACCGCCUGGGGAGUACGGCCGCAAGGUUAAAACUCAAAUGAAUUGACGGGGGCCCGCACAAGCGGUGGAGCAUGUGGUUUAAUUCGAUGCAACGCGAAGAACCUUACCUGGUCUUGACAUCCACAGAAGAAUCCAGAGAUGGAUUUGUGCCUUCGGGAACUGUGAGACAGGUGCUGCAUGGCUGUCGUCAGCUCGUGUUGUGAAAUGUUGGGUUAAGUCCCGCAACGAGCGCAACCCUUAUCCUUUGUUGCCAGCGAUUAGGUCGGGAACUCAAAGGAGACUGCCAGUGAUAAACUGGAGGAAGGUGGGGAUGACGUCAAGUCAUCAUGGCCCUUACGACCAGGGCUACACACGUGCUACAAUGGCGCAUACAAAGAGAAGCGACCUCGCGAGAGCAAGCGGACCUCAUAAAGUGCGUCGUAGUCCGGAUUGGAGUCUGCAACUCGACUCCAUGAAGUCGGAAUCGCUAGUAAUCGUGGAUCAGAAUGCCACGGUGAAUACGUUCCCGGGCCUUGUACACACCGCCCGUCACACCAUGGGAGUGGGUUGCAAAAGAAGUAGGUAGCUUAACCUUCGGGAGGGCGCUUACCACUUUGUGAUUCAUGACUGGGGUGAAGUCGUAACAAGGU
Molecule: ribosomal RNA, 1485 nt
Filed under: uncultured bacterium
Lineage: Bacteria
Description: bacterial SSU rRNA
Rfam family: Bacterial small subunit ribosomal RNA
Source: RNAcentral